GGUUGUGGCUCAGUGGUAAAGCGUUUGCCUAGCAUGCAUGAGGCACUGGGUUCCAUUCUCAGCACCA
RNAcentral lists this transfer RNA (67 nucleotides) under Marmota monax (woodchuck). RNAcentral describes it as "tRNA.Ala". It matches the Rfam family "tRNA". From Rfam's summary of the family: Transfer RNA (tRNA) molecules are approximately 80 nucleotides in length. Their secondary structure includes four short double-helical elements and three loops (D, anti-codon, and T loops). The record is from RNAcentral. Lineage: Eukaryota; Metazoa; Chordata; Mammalia; Rodentia; Sciuridae.